UACGUAGGUGACAAGCGUUGUCCGGAUUUACUGGGCGUAAAGAGCGCGCAGGCGGUCGAUCAAGUCGAGUGUGAAAGCCCCCGGCUCAACUGGGGAGGGUCAUCCGAUACUGAUCGACUCGAAGGCAGGAGAGGGUAGUGGAAUUCCAGGUGUAGCGGUGAAAUGCGUAGAUAUCUGGAGGAACACCGGUGGCGAAGGCGGCAUCCUGGACCGACACUGACGCUGAGGAGCGAAAGCCAGGGGAGCAAACGGG
Molecule: ribosomal RNA, 253 nt
Filed under: uncultured bacterium
Lineage: Bacteria
Description: partial 16S ribosomal RNA
Rfam family: Bacterial small subunit ribosomal RNA
Source: RNAcentral